UGUUUUUUUGUUGUUUUUAUUUUGCUUUUGGGGGGGGUCAGGUUGUCCAAAAAUAUAUUUUAUGGUAUGCUGCAGAAUUUUAGUAAUUUAUAUGUGCCAUUAGAUGAAAAGGGUCGAAAAUUGCUGUGUUAAAGUACUCAGGGUUCUGUUUUUAAAAUCUCCUUGAUUGAUAUCCUUGAUAUGAUGCAUUCUUCAACAAUAAUUGUGUAUUUUAUUUCUAUUUUAAUUUGUAACAGUUUGGUUUUAGAGAGAUAGAAGAUAAGGGUUUUUUGUUUAUACAAUUCAGCCCAUGUAAUGUACAAUAAUGUCUUAGUCACCAACUGCAGAUUUUUUUGAGUUUGGAAAUCACCUGUAAGGCUAUUUGGCCCUAAUGGUUGCAGGAAUAAAAGAGAAAUAUAAGGCUGUAGCUGGUAUA
This is a long non-coding RNA of Phyllostomus discolor (pale spear-nosed bat), 415 nucleotides long. RefSeq lists it as uncharacterized. Lineage: Eukaryota; Metazoa; Chordata; Mammalia; Chiroptera; Phyllostomidae. The transcript has 3 exons. The record is from RefSeq and is a predicted model, not a curated record.